AGGACAUAGCCCAGUUUGGUGACCAAGACAGCGCCCAGUUGAGGGACUGGCUGGUGCCCCCUAGCUGGCCUCCCACAGGGAAACACGUCUGGCAUCGUGAUUGAUAUUACUCUUAAUGACGGAAAUGACAGCCAUGUAUGGGAGACUCAGGAGCAAAUCAUCCCUGUAUGAUUAAUGCAGGGCCCAGGGGUGCUGGUGUGAUUCAUUCCUGCACUUACUCUACCCCACACGCUCACAUGUGCUCACACACAUGCACACAGCACCCACUGAGGGCUAGGGCUUUGCAGGGGCUGGCCCUACCCACGUAGCACUCUAGCUGGUCCCAAUCCAGUCCUUCAUUCUAAGUAUCCAUCCAUCCAUCCAUCCACCAAUUCAUCUGUUCAUCUAUCCACCCAUCACCAGUUUAUUCUCCAUCUAUCAAUCAAUGUAUCCAUCCAUCUGUCUGUCCAUCCGUUCAUCCACUCCUCCACCCUCAUUCAUCCACUCCCCCACGUUUAUCCAUCUGGCAAGCUCUCGUCCCUUCGGUAAGUAUCCAUCAGGUUUCUUUUUGUGUCAGCCCCUGGGGAUCCAAGGAUGAAUCAUCUGAAUGGGCCCUGCCCUGGAGGCCUCCCAGAACCUUGGGGACCAGUGUGCCCUCUGAGUCACCUCUGGAAGGAAUGAUUCUCCCAGCAUUCCUCUUUGGAGAUCCAGGGAGCCCAAGCCGCUGGGAAGCCUGGCUGAGUCAUGGUGCUUGCGGGGUUGGUAAGCAGAAAGGGCUGGGGAGGCCAUGGGGAAAUGGACAGAAUGCUGAUUCAAGAAGGGACUGACGGGAGUGGAUGAGGCAGAGUAUAGAGGGCCCCUGGGAGAAGGUGGCCCCCUCAGUGUGGCCGGGGCUGCACCUUGAGAGGGGAUGGCAAACUCCUCUCCUGGCUGUACCAUGACCAUAGGCCAGUCUACUCCUUGGGAAAGGGGCCAGUACUCCCUGGCCUGCUGGCAAGCACUGGGUGAGACCCAGGAUGUCAAAGCGCUUUCUCUGUAGCUGCAGCCCCCUCCGCCAAGGCGGCUUUGUGCCAGGUCUGUCGGAGCAGCUGUGCUCCCUUCCCCCUGGGCCACUGUUUCUGACCCAACACGCCUGUCUCGUGUCGUCUACGUCCUGGUCGGGAGUUCUGUGGGGCUCACUUUGCUGGGGCUCUGGGAGGCUUGUGGAUGUGUGCAGUCUGGAGGUCUCAUGGCUGGACACAG
RNAcentral lists this long non-coding RNA (1221 nucleotides) under Callithrix jacchus (white-tufted-ear marmoset). Its description in RNAcentral is "lncRNA (ENSCJAG00000077485.1)". The record is from RNAcentral. Lineage: Eukaryota; Metazoa; Chordata; Mammalia; Primates; Cebidae.